GAUGACAAGAAGUUUGUGAGCAACAUAACCAGGUUGAGCUCGGGUCCUUUCCGGACCAUCACGGUGCGAGACACGAUGUCCGACCUGCCGGAGGUGCGGAAUGGAGCCUCGGCACUGGAGAUCUCCUACAACGGGGAGCCUCAGUCCUGGUUCCAGAGGCAGCUCCGGGGCGCACAGUACCAGCCCAUCCUCAGGGACCACAUCUGUAAGGUAAUGGCACCCCGACAGAGCGGCUUCUCCUUGAGGCCCAGCCCAGCAGCCUCGUGGGAACAGUCAGCCUGUCCAAGACUCAGGGGAGACAUGGAAUCUGAUCCCAGGCUCCUCCUCCCGAGUCCUCAGCCUUUGUGUGACCCCUGGCCUCUCCUGCAUGGUCAUGGGAAGUGUCAGAGCUCCCGCAGUCCUGGACUCUGUCUGGAAUGGUGUCAAGCCACUGCCCACCCACCACUGCCUUCCCCCUCGCUGCCUCUCCCCACAUGUUUUCCCCAUCCCCUGGCACCACUCCCCUUCCCCCACCCUAAAGGCUCAGCUUAGAUUCCCACGCUCUCCUACC
This 550-nucleotide small RNA is filed under the name Pongo abelii (Sumatran orangutan). Its description in RNAcentral is "retained intron". Lineage: Eukaryota; Metazoa; Chordata; Mammalia; Primates; Hominidae. The record is from RNAcentral.